RNAcentral lists this ribosomal RNA (651 nucleotides) under uncultured fungus. RNAcentral's name for it is "eukaryotic LSU rRNA". It matches the Rfam family "Eukaryotic large subunit ribosomal RNA", at positions 23 to 664 of the family's 3401-position model. Lineage: Eukaryota; Fungi. The record is from RNAcentral.
ACCCGCUGAACUUAAGCAUAUCAAUAAGCGGAGGAAAAGAAACUAACAAGGAUUCCCUUAGUAACGGCGAGUGAACCGGGAAAAGCUCAAAUUUGUAAUCUGGCUGUCUUCGAUAGUCCGAGUUGUAAUCUAUAGACGUGUUUUCCGUGCUGGACCGUAUCUAAGUCCCUUGGAACAGGGUAUCAAAGAGGGUGACAAUCCCGUGCUUGAUACGACCACCAGUGCUCUGUGAUACACGCUCUACGAGUCGAGUUGUUUGGGAAUGCAGCUCAAAAUGGGUGGUAAAUUCCAUCUAAAGCUAAAUAUUGGCGAGAGACCGAUAGCGAACAAGUACCGUGAGGGAAAGAUGAAAAGCACUUUGGAAAGAGAGUUAAACAGUACGUGAAAUUGUUGAAAGGGAAACGAUUGAAGUCAGUCGUGUUCUUUGGAUUCAGCUAGUUCUUCUAGUCUACUUCCUUUGAACGGGUCAACAUCAGUUUUGUCCGGUGGAUAGAGGUAGUAGGAAUGUAGCUCCCUCGGGAGUGUUAUAGACUAUUAUUGCAUGCACUGGGUGAGACUGAGGACUGCAGCUCGCCUUUUGGCCGGCCUUCGGGUACGUUCGAGCUUAGGAUGUUGACAUAAUGGCUUUAAACGACCCGUCUUGAAACACGG